UUUUCAUUACAUGAUACACGUGAAUUACAUAGCAGAAUUACAAUGUCGAUACCAUCUAUGCCCUUCCAUACAUCCUAUACAUCCCCAAGUCACACUUUGCUCACCUCCCUUGAUCAUGCACAACUCACUCUAGGGCCAUAAAAUUCAUCACCACUUCACACACCUUCUUUCUGUCUCCCAAAAUCUUCCACAUAAGUUCCACUUCACUCUCAAUCUACCCCUAUAAAAGUGACCCUUCACUCACUCAUUACACACACAUAAAAAUCCCUAGUAAAACUCUGCAUAAAAUCCCUCUAAACCUUAUCACCAAAGUUUAGGGCUAUCCCCUACACAACACCAGAAGACAAAAGAAGGAGAAGAGGAAUUUAGAAGAAGUGAGUAGAAUAAGAGGACACAUCAAAUGAAGAAGGAGAAUAUUAGAGUUACAUACCUGAAGGUUGGAGGCUUCGCCGAAGUUCUCGUAGGAAAAUUGGAAAUUCCAAUUUUCGGCAAGGUGUCUUUCUCCAUUAUUUUCAUAUCUAUUUACCUAUUUCCUUGCACAUAUGUUAUUCUAAUGCUUUAAAUUACUUUAAUAUGUUGUAAUUUGUGAAAAAUCAUUGAAAAAAAGGGGUUAGGAUUUUGUUUGGGAAUAAAGUUGACAUGCUUUGAUUAUGUUUGUUUUGGUUAUUUGGUUGUUGAAUUCGCGUUAAGAAGAAAAAAUGGAGGGGGAUUUGUGUUGUUAGAUUUCAAUUUGGGUGAGUUUGGGCCGGAACUUGGAAAUCAAGAAGAUGAACAUUCAUAUGUUCAUCUUCAGUUCUUCCCCGACCACCGUACUAGAUCUAAAAAAGUUAAAAAUAAAUAUUGAGACUGUGUUUGUGGUUGAAGAGAGAGGAGAGAACAAUCUGAAGAGAGAGGGAAAAAAUGAAAAAAUGACUCACAUAGACUACAUCCCGCACAUCUCUAUCCCUCAGAUUGGAUGACUUUGGCCUUUGACUAUGGGACCCCACCAUGAUCAUAUGCGCCUUCUUUUUCCAGCCAUUAGAUAAAGACUAAUUUCAUAGCAUAUUGAUCAGACACAUGAGGAUGAGUCAACAUUUUUUACUCCAUUGGCCAUGUUGAUCGGGCCAGACGCCCUUUGGGCCUUGCCGCGCCCUGGCCAAUUGCUAUUCGCCCCCUUGUUUUUUGCUACGUUAUUUAUUUUAUUAUUUUGGUGGUGUGCCUUUAGCCAAUGUUA
This 1213-nucleotide long non-coding RNA is filed under the name Lathyrus oleraceus (garden pea). RNAcentral's name for it is "Pisum sativum (pea) long non-coding RNA (PSAT_LNC022635)". The record is from RNAcentral. Lineage: Eukaryota; Viridiplantae; Streptophyta; Magnoliopsida; Fabales; Fabaceae.